RNAcentral lists this ribosomal RNA (558 nucleotides) under uncultured archaeon. RNAcentral's name for it is "bacterial SSU rRNA". It matches the Rfam family "Archaeal small subunit ribosomal RNA", at positions 202 to 761 of the family's 1478-position model. The record is from RNAcentral.
CCCAAGGAUGGGGCCGCGGCCGAUCAGGUUGUUGGUGAGGUAAUGGCUCACCAAGCCUUUAACCGGUGCGGGCCGUGGGAGCGGAAGCCCGGAGAUGGGCACUGAGACAAGGGCCCAGGCCCUACGGGGCGCAGCAGUCGCGAAAACUUCGCAAUAAGCGAAAGCUUGACGGGGCUAUCCCGAGUGCCAUCCGCUGAGGACGGCUUUUCUCCAGUGUAGAUAGCUGGAGGAAUAAGGAGAGGGCAAGUCUGGUAUCAGCCGCCGCGGUAAUACCAGCUCUCCGAGUGGUGGGGAUGAUUAUUGGGCCUAAAGCAUCCGUAGCCGGCUGGGCAAGUCCCCUGUUAAACCCAGCGAUUUAAUCGUUGGCUCGCGGGGGAUACUGCUCGGCUAGGGAGCGAGAGAGGCCGUCGGUAUUCCCGGGGUAGGGGUGAAAUCCUAUAAUCCCGGGAGGACCACCAGUGGCGAAGGCUGUCGGCUAGAACGCGCCCGACGGUGAGGGAUGAAAGCUGGGGGGAGCGAACCGGAUUAGAUACCCGGGUAGUCCCAGCUGUAAACGAU